Molecule: ribosomal RNA, 438 nt
Filed under: uncultured bacterium
Lineage: Bacteria
Description: bacterial SSU rRNA
Rfam family: Bacterial small subunit ribosomal RNA
Source: RNAcentral
AACGCGAAGAACCUUACCUGGGCUUGACAUGUUCCUGACCGCCGUGGAAACACGGUUUCCCUUCGGGGCAGGAUCACAGGUGGUGCAUGGCUGUCGUCAGCUCGUGUCGUGAGAUGUUGGGUUAAGUCCCGCAACGAGCGCAACCCCCGUCGCAUGUUGCCAGCAUUUAGUUGGGGACUCAUGCGAGACUGCCGGUGACAAACCGGAGGAAGGUGGGGAUGACGUCAAGUCAUCAUGCCCCUUAUGUCCAGGGCUACACACGUGCUACAUUGGCGCGUACAGAGGGCUGCAAGACCGCGAGGUGGAGCGAAUCCCUUAAAGCGCGUCUCGGUUCGGAUUGCAGGCUGAAACUCGCCUGCAUGAAGGCGGAGUUGCUAGUAAUCGCGGAUCAGCAUUGCCGCGGUGAAUACGUUCCCGGGCCUUGUACACACCGGCUAC